Molecule: ribosomal RNA, 430 nt
Filed under: uncultured Halomonas sp.
Lineage: Bacteria; Pseudomonadati; Pseudomonadota; Gammaproteobacteria; Oceanospirillales; Halomonadaceae
Description: bacterial SSU rRNA
Rfam family: Bacterial small subunit ribosomal RNA
Source: RNAcentral
GUGGGGAAUAUUGGACAAUGGGCGAAAGCCUGAUCCAGCCAUGCCGCGUGUGUGAAGAAGGCCCUCGGGUUGUAAAGCACUUUCAGCGAGGAAGAACGCCUAGUGGUUAAUACCCAUUAGGAAAGACAUCACUCGCAGAAGAAGCACCGGCUAACUCCGUGCCAGCAGCCGCGGUAAUACGGAGGGUGCAAGCGUUAAUCGGAAUUACUGGGCGUAAAGCGCGCGUAGGUGGCUUGAUAAGCCGGUUGUGAAAGCCCCGGGCUCAACCUGGGAACGGCAUCCGGAACUGUCAAGCUAGAGUGCAGGAGAGGAAGGUAGAAUUCCCGGUGUAGCGGUGAAAUGCGUAGAGAUCGGGAGGAAUACCAGUGGCGAAGGCGGCCUUCUGGACUGACACUGACACUGAGGUGCGAAAGCGUGGGUAGCAAACAGG